UGAGCAGUGUAGGCUCUGGUUGGUUAGU
Molecule: non-coding RNA, 28 nt
Filed under: Homo sapiens (human)
Lineage: Eukaryota; Metazoa; Chordata; Mammalia; Primates; Hominidae
Source: RNAcentral